Molecule: ribosomal RNA, 120 nt
Organism: Bos taurus (domestic cattle)
Lineage: Eukaryota; Metazoa; Chordata; Mammalia; Artiodactyla; Bovidae
Source: Ensembl
GGCUCCGGCCCUAUCAGCCUGAAGGCGCCCGAUCUCGUCUGAUCUUGGAAGCUAAGCAGGGUCGGGCCUGGUUAGGAUCUUGGAUGGGAGACCACCUGGGAAUCCCGGGUGCUCGAGGCU